AAAAUUCUUAGAGUAGUAAAGAAAUAUGUUAUCUGAUAUAGUUACUUUUGUUUUGUGUCAUUCUUAAAUUUCAUAGAUCGCCCGGGUCCGUCUAGUGCUCCUUCCGACCAAAAUCAAAGUUAGGGAUUCGUUCUCCACUACUGUACUAGGAAGCAGCUGAUUCGGCUGAAGCUCUGCAAUCUUCUCUGCAGAGUUACAAAUGUAAACUUUAUAUUCAUGUUAUUUAAUUUUGGAUGUAUAAAUUAUUCUGUUAUCAGAUUA
Non-coding RNA from Jatropha curcas, 261 nucleotides. The record is from RefSeq and is a predicted model, not a curated record. Lineage: Eukaryota; Viridiplantae; Streptophyta; Magnoliopsida; Malpighiales; Euphorbiaceae.